Protopterus annectens (West African lungfish) is the source of this 365-nucleotide long non-coding RNA. RefSeq lists it as uncharacterized. The record is from RefSeq and is a predicted model, not a curated record. NCBI's taxonomy places the organism in Eukaryota, Metazoa, Chordata, Ceratodontiformes, Protopteridae. The transcript is spliced from 3 exons.
UAAUGACAGGUCCCUAUCACGAAUGGGGUUCAGCGGAUUACCCGGACCUGUCGGCCAAGGGUAGACACACGCUGAUCCAUUCAGUGUAGCACGUGUGCAGCCCUGGACAUCUAAGGGCAUCACAGACCUGUUAUUGCUCAAUCUCGUGUGGCUGAAAGCCACUUGUCCCUCUAAGAAGUUGGAGACGACCGCACGGGGCCACAUAACUAGUUAGCAUGGCGGAGUCUUGUUCGUUAUCGGAAUUAACCAGACAAAUCGCUCCACCAACUAAGAACUGCCAUGCACCACCACCCACAGAAUCGAGAAAGAGCUAUCAAUCUGUCAAUCCUUUCCAUGUCCGGGCCGGGUGAGGUUUCCCGUGUUUA